Gasterosteus aculeatus aculeatus (three-spined stickleback) is the source of this 388-nucleotide non-coding RNA. Lineage: Eukaryota; Metazoa; Chordata; Actinopteri; Perciformes; Gasterosteidae. The record is from RefSeq and is a predicted model, not a curated record.
AGAGGAGUAUUUUGGGCCACAAUGCGAAACAUCUGGCCUACAAAGCCAAGUAUGUCCAUCCUGAUGGGUCUGAGUAUGAAACAAGGUGAAGACAUGUGGGACAUUGGUCAAGAACGUGUCCAGUGAAAUAUGAAGGGAACACACGGUCGAAUGCUCCUCCAGGAAGGUUUCCCUACCCACUGCAGCCCAGGCAGAACCAGAGGUUGGGCACACCCCAGCCUCCACCGCCGCACAUGUGGUGACCACAGCGACAGAUGCCACUUGCGUUGAUGGAGACAGAGUUCUGACGAGGCCCUAAACAACUAACUGGUGACACACCGACCCCCGCUGCUUUCCAACAGCUCAGAUAAGCACCCUCAGCGUCCACGGUUUACGACUCACAUUCCAG